Gossypium raimondii (Peruvian cotton) is the source of this 2042-nucleotide RNA transcript. It is a transcript of the gene named 26S proteasome non-ATPase regulatory subunit 1 homolog A, with no coding region annotated. The record is from RefSeq and is a predicted model, not a curated record. The transcript has 2 exons. Lineage: Eukaryota; Viridiplantae; Streptophyta; Magnoliopsida; Malvales; Malvaceae.
UAAUUCUAGUGAUUAUGUUGAAAUCAAAUUCUGAUUUUCAGUCACAGAAAACCUCAAUCCUUUUUUGCAUUAUUUCCCAAUUUUUCAAUAAUACAUUUUUUUGUAUAGUGAUUAUGUUGAGACUUCAGAUUUCCUAUAAAUUUUUCUUAUUUUCAAGAAGUCUACAACUUCAGCGUAAAUCAGGGAUUUUUUCUUUGAUCGCAGGGUGUUCGCUGAAAUGCUUGACCUAAGCAUGCAGGCGUGGGAAGCUAUCGGCUUUGAUAAACUUAUAUCCCACCACCUCUUCCAUAAGCGCCAACAUAUGAAUAACCAUUCCAAAAACGAGGUCAGCCUCGCCAAUUCCAUUAAAAAGAGCAGCAGCGGCUGGCCUAAGCUAAGCUACCAAGCAAAAGAGGAAGAAGAAGAAGAGAUGGUUUCAGUGUCAGGCAUCUGCGCCAAAAGGGUAGCGGUGAAUGCAAGGCAUCACAUUCUAGGAAGGUUGGCUUCCAUAUUGGCCAAGGAGUUAUUGAAUGGCCAAAAAUUAGUGGUGGUGAGAUUUGAAGAGAUUUGCAUGUCGGGUGGAUUAGUAGUAUGAACACUAAGCCUUCUGCUAAGAUCUCCAGCGUACCAUUCGUGGGUGUGUUUUUCUUUUCGAGGUUUAUUCAAGUGUGUUUUUGAAGUUCCUUGAAGUUCUUUAUUUGCUGAUGUGAAUGAAAAUGAUGGAAAUUUCUGGGUAUUUUACGCUUGGUAAUUUGGGAAGUGUUUAUCAUGAAUUUUUUUCCCCAAGGAUUUUUAACUAUUUAUUUGAAGUUAUAUUCUAUGGUUUGGGUAUUGGAAUAUAUCGUGAAGAACCAAAGGAAUCUCUGAGUUUUGUUAUGUUUGAUGUCAAAAUUGAUGAUUGGUAGAGUUUGGUAUUGAUUUUUUAUUAUUAUUAGAGAUCUGUGAGUUUGUUAUGCUUGGUUAUUGGGAAAAUGUAGUGAAGAAAUGAAUGAGAGUGGUAUGAGUGUGCUUGAGGUGCUAUUAUUGCUGGAUUUAGUGAAAACCAUGCAUUAGCUGAGAAGGUUAUGAAUCUUAUGGUGCAAAGGCAAUGUUUUGGCUUCAGGAUAUAUGAAGUAAAGUUUAUAACUCACCUUCUCUUUUACUUUCCUUAUGGUAAUUGAUAUAUGCUUUGAUUGCAAGAUGAUUCCUCACAAGAUCAAGCGUGGAGCAGCUGCUCUUGCUCGCUUGAAGGCUUAUGAGAGGAUUCCAGCGACAGCUCCUGAUGCUCUCAAGUGAGCUUUUGAGUAGUCGGUUUCUUUUGCGGAAUGUAGAAUUUGGUUUACUUACUUGCUUCAAUGGCUAAUUAGUAAUGUUUCCAAUGUUUUCUUCAUUCUUUCGAUUUUUUAAAUUAGGGUUUUGAGGCUUCAGAAAGGACACAAAUUGGUUGAGAAAAUAGCGUUAUCCUGGAGUAAAUAUGACAUAAAACAUUGAAUGGUUUUGGUUGAAUUGGUUAGGUUGAUGGUCCUCCUGAGAAGAAAGCCGAGCCAGAGCCCUCAUCCGAGAUUUUGACUAACCCAGCAAGAGUAGUUCCUGCUCAGGAGAAGUUCAUCAAGUUUCUAGAAGACAGCCAACAUGCACCCGUGAAGUUGGCACCAUCUGGUUUUGUUCUUAGAGACCUGCACCCUAAUGAACCGGAGGCACUGUCCCUAACCAAAGCGCUUGCAUCUGUGGCUUCUCCAGCAAGUGGAUCAGCAGCAGGUCAACAGAAUUCCCCAUCAGCUAUGGCCAUCGAUGAUGAACCUCAGCCCCCUCAACCUUUUGAGUUCACAUCCUGAUGUUGCCCGGGCUUCGGGUCGGUGAUAGUUUUUCGAGACAAACGGUGUUUUGUGCAUGGGAUGAGAGAUAUUCCCUACUUUACAUGUGUUAUAUUGAUUACCCUUUUGUGCAUGGCUUUGCAUUUCAAUUGAUGCUGCUCCAAUUGUUUUUUACUUUUCUUUUUAUUUCUAGGGAAGAAAUUGUUAUAUAAAUAAUCAUCCAUUAUUCUCAUUUUAAUUUAAGCUGAAAAUUGCAAUAUUUAUUACGAA